ACGCUCGACACCUACGGGAAGCAGUCGGGAAUAUUGCGCAAUGGAGGAAACUCUGACGCAGUGACGCCGCGUGCAGGAAGAAGGUUUUCGGAUUGUAAACUGCUUUAGACAGGGAAGAAGAAGUGACAGUACCUGUAGAAUAAGCUCCGGCUAACUACGUGCCAGCAGCCGCGGUAAUCUGAGCGGGCUGGCAAGGC
Molecule: ribosomal RNA, 197 nt
Filed under: uncultured bacterium
Lineage: Bacteria
Description: partial 16S ribosomal RNA
Rfam family: Bacterial small subunit ribosomal RNA
Source: RNAcentral